GCUUCCAUAGCUCAGCAGGUAGAGCACUUCCAUGGUAAGGAAGGGGUCGUCCGUUCAAAUCGGAUUGGAAGCU
This 73-nucleotide transfer RNA is filed under the name Oceanobacillus longus. RNAcentral's name for it is "tRNA-Thr". It matches the Rfam family "tRNA". Rfam says of the family: Transfer RNA (tRNA) molecules are approximately 80 nucleotides in length. RNAcentral also lists the same sequence under 4 other names. The record is from RNAcentral. Lineage: Bacteria; Bacillati; Bacillota; Bacilli; Caryophanales; Bacillaceae.